RNAcentral lists this long non-coding RNA (387 nucleotides) under Rattus norvegicus (Norway rat). RNAcentral describes it as "long non-coding RNA NONRATT029262". Lineage: Eukaryota; Metazoa; Chordata; Mammalia; Rodentia; Muridae. The record is from RNAcentral.
GUUCAUGUGGUAGCUUAGGCAGUGCAGCUCCGUGACAGAUCCAACGUCACAUGCAUCUCCCACCUUGAUGCACAAGAGGAAGGUUAGAGUGGAAGGAACGGCGAAGGCAGAGCCCAAGUGCCACUCUGCGAGGCUGUUGGCCCAGUCUGCCCCUGCCAAGGUGGAUGCGAAAUUGAAAAAGGCCGUGGGAAAGGAUAAAGCAUCAGACAAAAAAUCGCAGAUAAAAGGGAAGAGGGGAGCGAAGGGCAAACAGACUGAAGUGGCUGACCAGCAAACUCCCUGCAGAAAAUGGAGAGACGGAAAACCAGAGCCCAGCCUCUGAGGAAGAGAAAGAAGCAAAGUCUGACUAAGCAUCCAUCACGUCUGUCAGUGGUCCUUGCCUCAAUU